This 420-nucleotide ribosomal RNA is filed under the name bacterium. Its description in RNAcentral is "partial 16S ribosomal RNA". It matches the Rfam family "Bacterial small subunit ribosomal RNA", at positions 355 to 776 of the family's 1533-position model. The record is from RNAcentral.
UGGGGGAUAUUGCACAAUGGGCGAAAGCCUGAUGCAGCGACGCCGCGUGGGGGAUGAAGGCUUUCGGGUUGUAAACCUCUUUCGCUAUCGAACAAGGCCCGCUUAGGGUGGGUUGAGGGUAGGUGGAGAAGAAGCGCCGGCUAACUACGUGCCAGCAGCCGCGGUAAUACGUAGGGCGCGAGCGUUCUCCGGAAUUAUUGGGCGUAAAGGGCUUGUAGGCGGCUUGUUGCGCCUGCUGUGAAAACGCGGGGCUUAACUUCGCGCGUGCAGUGGGUACGGGCAGGCUUGAGUGUGGUAGGGGUGACUGGAAUUCCAGGUGUAGCGGUGGAAUGCGCAGAUAUCUGGAGGAACACCGAUAGCGAAGGCAGGUCACUGGGCCAUUACUGACGCUGAGGAGCGAAAGCAUGGGUAGCGAACAGG